GCAGUGGGGAAUAUUGGACAAUGGGGGGAACCCUGAUCCAGCCAUGCCGCGUGUGUGAAGAAGGCCUUAUGGUUGUAAAGCACUUUAAGCGAGGAGGAGGCUACUUUAGUUAAUACCUAGAGAUAGUGGACGUACUCGCAGAA
RNAcentral lists this ribosomal RNA (143 nucleotides) under uncultured Acinetobacter sp. Its description in RNAcentral is "partial 16S rRNA". It matches the Rfam family "Bacterial small subunit ribosomal RNA", at positions 351 to 486 of the family's 1533-position model. Lineage: Bacteria; Pseudomonadati; Pseudomonadota; Gammaproteobacteria; Moraxellales; Moraxellaceae. The record is from RNAcentral.